CUGGUAGAAGAGUUUCUAAAGAAAGUUGAAGCCGGUUUAAAAAGGGAACUUUAUUACUGGCAUGCCUACUACGAAAAGAGACUCCCAGCAGGAACAAGUGCUUUGUUGAAAUUAGAAGAGUUCGUGGCCAAGUUUAUAGGCAUACAUAGGAAGAGUUCUGCCAAUGGUCAGUGUGUGUAACAUUGAGCUAACUAUGCCUUUGUUCAAUUAAUUUUGUUGC
Long non-coding RNA from Hibiscus syriacus, 220 nucleotides. RefSeq lists it as uncharacterized. The record is from RefSeq and is a predicted model, not a curated record. Lineage: Eukaryota; Viridiplantae; Streptophyta; Magnoliopsida; Malvales; Malvaceae. The transcript has 3 exons.